RNAcentral lists this ribosomal RNA (406 nucleotides) under uncultured bacterium. Its description in RNAcentral is "partial 16S ribosomal RNA". It matches the Rfam family "Bacterial small subunit ribosomal RNA", at positions 30 to 526 of the family's 1533-position model. The record is from RNAcentral.
AUUGAACGCUGGCGGCAGGCUUAACACAUGCAAGUCGAGCGAGCGGCGGACGGGUGAGUAAUGUCUGGGAAACUGCCUGAUGGAGGGGGAUAACUACUGGAAACGGUAGCUAAUACCGCAUACCAUCAGAUGUGCCCAGAUUGGAUUAGCUAGUAGGUGGGGUAAUGGCUCACCUAGGCGCCGAUCCCUAGCUGGUCUGAGAGGCUGACCAGCCACACUGGAACUGAGACGCGGGCCUGACUCCGACGGGAGGCAGCAGUGGGGAAUAUUGCACAAUGGGCGCAAGCCUGAUGCAGCCAUGCCGCGUGUGUGAAGAAGGCCAUCGGGUUGUAAAGCACUUUCAGCGAGGAGGCGUUACUCGCAGAAGAAGCACCGGCUAACUCCGUGACAGCAGCCGCGGUAAUAC